GACGAACGCUGGCGGCGUGCUUAACACAUGCAAGUCGUACGGUAAGGCCCUUUCGGGGGUACACGAGUGGCGAACGGGUGAGUAACACGUGAGUAACCUGCCCACAACUUUGGGAUAACGCUAGGAAACUGGUGCUAAUACUGGAUAUGUGCUCCUGCUGCAUGGUGGGGGUUGGAAAGCUCCGGCGGUUGUGGAUGGACUCGCGGCCUAUCAGCUUGUUGGUGGGGUAGUGGCCUACCAAGGCGGCGACGGGUAGCCGGCCUGAGAGGGUGACCGGCCACAUUGGGACUGAGAUACGGCCCAGACUCCUACGGGAGGCAGCAGUGGAGAAUAUUGCACAAUGGGCGCAAGCCUGAUGCAGCAACGCCGCGUGCGGGAUGACGGCCUUCGGGUUGUAAACCGCUUUCAGCAGGGACGAAGCUUUUUGUGACGGUACCUGCAGAAGAAGCACCGGCUAACUACGUG
This 465-nucleotide ribosomal RNA is filed under the name uncultured bacterium. RNAcentral describes it as "partial 16S ribosomal RNA". It matches the Rfam family "Bacterial small subunit ribosomal RNA", at positions 28 to 507 of the family's 1533-position model. The record is from RNAcentral.